AGCCAAAUUAAACAUCGAAAUCUGGUA
This 27-nucleotide non-coding RNA is filed under the name Homo sapiens (human). Lineage: Eukaryota; Metazoa; Chordata; Mammalia; Primates; Hominidae. The record is from RNAcentral.